GCAUCACAGAACUCCAAUGACACAGAAAGAGUGGUGACUGAAGGUGGAAAACAAGACCUUCUGAGGCCCCAGGAGACAGACAGUCUUUCUGUGAGUCAGGAGCAAAUAAGACGUGAAUUCAUAGAUGGCUUGCCUCACCACCAGGAAAAACAAAAGAGAAAGAGGAAAAAGUGUUGUACUCGGAAACAUAAUAAUCGACAUGUCCCCCCACGCCCAAAUAUGUCGGGGCAUGUUGGAGAGCUUAGAGAGGCUCAGUCUGUAAGCACGUCUUCAAACCAAGAAAACCAGGCCCUGAGUUCACAGAAUGAAAAUGGACAGUUUAUAAGCUGGCCGGGAGCCAAAAGGGGUGGGGACAUAUUUAACAGUGGGGGUCAACAGCUCAUCGGUAGCUCUGAGACAGGAAGUGAAAAUAGCCAGCAGUGGAAGGUACCUGAUUGGGCCCCGACUGUACCUGAAAGAUCUAGUCAUACUCUGAACCUGGGGGGUGGGAAUGGCCCCCAAGAGAGUCAGUCUGAAGCAGCGGAUGGGAGUGAGCAAUAUGUGGGGAGGUUAGACGAAAGAGAAGGGCAGGGUUUCACCAAUGGAAGGGGCACAUCAUCUGGCCUCUCCACGCAAGAGGAAGGUGUGUCCAGCCUCAGAAAUGAUAAUGAGGUACAAAAAGGUACAUCUAGAGAAGGUAGUCAAUCUGCAAAUCUGGGCACUCCAGAAAAUAACAUAGACGUGUCAAGGAAUCACACUCCCGUGGACACAGCAGGAAACGGAAGUGAGGUAGAAUACAAGAGAAGGCAAUGUAAACAUCGGAAGAGAUGUCGUGCUACUCAUAGAAAGAAAGAACAGGGGGGAGAAUCAGUCCAGCUAACAGACAACCUCAAUACACCCAGCAUUUUGACAGAGGAAGACAGUAUUAGCACAAGUACGGGGAGCAGUUUAACAGGACAGAGGAAAAGCAGUUUUAUGACAGCAGGUAGUCCUAUGGGAGAUGAUAAUCAGCGAACAGACAAACAAGCAAAUUCAUCCAAAAUUGGAGAAAACAUAAGUACACACAACAGCAAUAUAAUAACAGGUGACAAAAAAUGUAAGAGAAAAAAAGAUGGAAAAUGUAAAAGAAACGGUAAGGAGAAAGUCUUAACCCGCGAGGGAUUCCCUAAUGCGAAGGGCGAGUUUGUACACAAAGAUGGCCUCUCUCCAGAAGGGAAAAGAACGGAGGAUUUCUCGAGCUCCAUAGUUCGUCCUAGCACAGACCAGGAGGGUUCUUCUUUGGAGGGAAAUGGAAAAAUUGUAUCCCCUGAGGGAGUCCCCAAUUCUGAGAGUCAAAAAUGGAGUGAAGGUGGCUCCUUCCCAGAGGGAAAUAGAAAUGGGAAAAUCUUAUCCCCUGAGGACAUUUCUAGCUCAAAGGGUCCCUCUUCUAAUGGAGGUAACUCUCUACCUCAGGUUAAUGGAAAGGACAAAGUCUCAACCGCUGAGGGAUUUCCCAAUGCAAAUGGCCAGUUUGUAAACAAAGAUGGCCUCUCUCCAGAAGGGAAAAGAACGGAGGAUUUCUCAAGCUCCAUAGUUCGUCCUAGCACAGACCAGGAGGGUUCUUCUUUGGAGGGAAAUGGAAAAUUUAUAUCCCCUGAGGGAGUCCCCAAUUCUGAGAGUCAAAAAUGGAGUGAAGGUGGCUCCUUCCCAGAGGGAAAUAGAAAUGGGAAAAUCUUAUCCCCUGAGGACAUUUCUAGCUCAAAGGGUCCCUCUUCUAAUGGAGGUAACUCUCUACCUCAGGUUAAUGGAAAGGACAAAGUCUCAACCGCUGAGGGAUUUCCCAAUGCAAAUGGCCAGUUUGUAAACAAAGAUGGCCUCUCUCCAGAAGGGAAAAGAACGGAGGAUUUCUCGAGCUCCAUAGUUCGUCCUAGCACAGACCAGGAGGGUUCUUCUUUGGAGGGAAAUGGAAAAAUUGUAUCCCCUGAGGGAGUCCCCAAUUCUGAGAGUCAAAAAUGGAGUGAAGGUGGCUCCUUCCCAGAGGGAAAUAGAAAUGGGAAAAUCUUAUCCCCUGAGGACAUUUCUAGCUCAAAGGGUCCCUCUUCUAAUGGAGGUAACUCUCUACCUCAGGUUAAUGGAAAGGACAAAGUCUCAACCGCUGAGGGAUUUCCCAAUGCAAAUGGCCAGUUUGUAAACAAAGAUGGCCUCUCUCCAGAAGGGAAAAGAACGGAGGAAUUCUCAAGCCCCAUAGUUCGUCCUAGCACAGACCAGGAGGGUUCUUCUUUGGAGGGAAAUGGAAAAAUUUUAUCCCCUGAGGGAGUCCCCAAUUCUGAGAGUCAAAAAUGGAGUGAAGGUGGCUCCUUCCCAGAGGGAAAUAGAAAUGGGAAAAUCUUAUCCCCUGAGGACAUUUCUAGCUCAAAGGGUCCCUCUUCUAAUGGAGGUAACUCUCUACCUCAGGUUAAUGGAAAGGACAAAGUCUCAACCGCUGAGGGAUUCCCUAAUGCAAAUGGCCAAUUUGUAAACAAAGAUGGCCUCUCUCCAGAAGGGAAAAGAACGGAGGAUUUCUCGAGCUCCAUAGUUCGUCCUAGCACAGACCAGGAGGGUUCUUCUUUGGAGAGAAAUGGAAAAAUUGUAUCCCCUGAGGGUGUCCCCAAUUCUGAGAGUCAAAAAUGGAGUGAAGGUGGCUCCUUCCCAGAGGGAAAUAGAAAUGGGAAAAUCUUAUCCCCUGAGGACAUUUCUAGCUCAAAGGGUCCCUCUUCUAAUGGAGGUAACUCUCUACCUCAGGUUAAUGGAAAGGACAAAGUCUCAACCGCUGAGGGAUUCCCUAAUGCAAAUGGCCAAUUUGUAAACAAAGAUGGCCUCUCUCCAGAAGGGAAAAGAACGGAGGAUUUCUCGAGCUCCAUAGUUCGUCCUAGCACAGACCAGGAGGGUUCUUCUUUGGAGGGAAAUGGAAAAUUUAUAUCCCCUGAGGGAGUCCCCAAUUCUGAGAGUCAAAAAUGGAGUGAAGGUGGCUCCUUCCCAGAGGGAAAUAGAAAUGGGAAAAUCUUAUCCCCUGAGGACAUUUCUAGCUCAAAGGGUCCCUCUUCUAAUGGAGGUAACUCUCUACCUCAGGUUAAUGGAAAGGACAAAGUCUCAACCGCUAAGGGAUCUCCCAAUGCAAAUGGCCAAUUUGUAAUCAAAGAUGGCCUCUCUCGAGAAUGGAAAAGUAAGGAAGGACUCUUAAUCUCUGAAGGUUAUCCUAUCGAAGACAACAAUCAUCCCAACACUAAAGGUCAGUCUUUUGACAAACAUCAUACUCUGCUAAGUCCCAAUGAUUAUCCAAACUCCCAGAGUCUGUCAGUCAAUGCUGGUGGCUCUUCCUCUGAUGUUCUCCAUAAGGCCAAUGGUCAGUUUUUGAAUGAAGGUGAUUCGUCCCUUUGGCAAAAUCAAAAGGCAAAAUUCUUGUCACCUGGUGGUCUUCCUAACUCUGACCGUCAAUCUUUGAAUACUGUUAGUGCUCCUCAUGGGAAAUAUGAAGAGAGGAAAAUCUUAACCCCUCAGCAUUUUCCUAUUUCUGAUCGCGAUUCUUCAAUUACAGAAAAUCCUUCUCUUGGAGGGAAUAACAAGAAGAUAUUCAUAUCUCCUCCCGGACCUCAUAAGCCAGAUACAAUUUUGCAGUACAGAAACAGCGAUGGUUCCCCUGCGGGAACUAAUGGAAUGUGGAAAUUCCUUUCACAUGAAAAGUUUUCCCUCAGUCAAGAUGUGCCUGCCCAACCAUUUGGAAAAGCAGACGAGGAUUCUCCCAAAGUACAUGAGACUUUAUUAGCGGAAAAUUUCUUGAGACCUGACACUGCUCCUUUUCAAAUCGAGGUUCCAGAUAAUUCCUUUUUCUCUCUGAAAUUAGGCUCCUGUACAGCCUGCGGAACGGAACAUUUUAAAUUCUCCAUCCCAAUAAAAAAAAAGUGACUCCGAAAUACCAAACAAUUUCUUCUUGCAGGAAGCCCGGAAAAGAGGUAAUUGUCAAGCUCUUUCCCCACACUGACAACUUAAUUAGACCGGGAGUACCUUCUACAGGAGGUGACUCUAUACUAAGGGGUAACGAGAAAGGUAAUUAUUUCGUUCAGAACAGGGGGGAAACAGGGCCGAACAAUGGAGUUUCAACUAGGUAUCUCUCUCCUUUUGGAAGAAUACAUUUUCCUGGACCUGCAGGAACGGUUCUUUAUGGACCUGGUAGCAAAGAUCACUUUGCAACAAAGGAGGUUGGUGGGUCAUAUCCUGGAGGUCGUAUUAAUAGCCUGAAUAAUCGUCUAGCUAGUUUUGGAGGUCCCAUUGGUGAUCAGAAAACUGAAAGCAACACAGCCAGGUUGAAUAAUCCCAUGCCUGGUUUGGGGAGCGAUCUGUCUGGGGCGGAUGUGUCAAAUGCUGGGGGUAGUCGAUUAGACAGGGAUGAGAGAAGUGAUGUUCCUGCUUUUGGCAGUAAUCCGAUUGGAGCAGGUUAUGGUAUUGCUGGUAGUUGGGGCAAGCCAUCUAAGGACUAUAAACCCGGGCCUCAGAGUGGACUUCCUCCAUUUGGACGUUAUCGUUGGACAUCCAGCAAUACCGCCCUGAGCAACAGUGGGCAAAGAAACCGCAACAGCCUCCUUCCUGGAGUUCCACUGGAGAGAAGAAUGUUUUGGUCUCUCCCUCCUUCGGUCGUGAUUCGAGUCGGCGCCGCAAGAAAUUAACCAGUGUUUUGAGGACCAAAAGCAGGCAAAGCUGUUUAAUCCCAGCCAGCUGAUCCGAGAACCAAAGACGGCCAGGCUUCUUUUGGGAACCUGGCAAGGGCUCUCUCUCAGGCUGUUCGGGAAGGAAAGGAGAAUUUCCUCCAGACUUUGCUUGACAAAAACGGACUGCUGCGAAAUGUCAACUGGGGCAAAAGUCUAAACCACAGCCUGCUUUUGCAGAAGACCCUUAACUGGGGGGGAGGGAGAGAUGGAAGGCCAAACACCGUAGGAAACGUCGCUGCUACCCCAGGCCAGGCAGCAGCCGAAGAGGGUGGAAAGAGACGAGGGCUGUUUCAGACUUUCUUUGAAAAUCUACAACAGGGAAAAGGUCUACUUGGGAGGCCGCUUUUGAUAAGUCAUUUUAUGGGGAAAAGAGAUUUAGAUGGUGUCUCGGGCACCAAUGCGAACCUGGAUGGGGAAGAGCUAGGAAGCAAAACCGUCACUGCAAGAGUGGGAUCGGCAGAAGAUGGCAAAAAGAGAGUGGCGGAACUUUUUUGGAGAAUUUUGUCACAGCCUCGGGCAGAUCCAUCGCCCGAUGUCGCUGAGGGACUUCUUGAGGCCUACAGCUUCUGAGCAUGCCAGAUUUGGUUGCCACAGCCUAUCGCAGAGG
This is an RNA transcript of Sphaerodactylus townsendi, 5307 nucleotides long. RefSeq lists it as uncharacterized. The record is from RefSeq and is a predicted model, not a curated record. Lineage: Eukaryota; Metazoa; Chordata; Lepidosauria; Squamata; Sphaerodactylidae. The transcript is spliced from 4 exons.